GAGCCGUAACACAGGUGCUGCAUGGCUGUCGUCAGCUCGUGUCGUGAGAUGUUGGGUUAAGUCCCGCAACGAGCGCAACCCUUGUCAUUAGUUGCUACAUUCAGUUGGGCACUCUAAUGAGACUGCCGGUGACAAGCCGGAGGAAGGUGGGGAUGACGUCAAGUCCUCAUGGCCCUUAUAGGUGGGGCUACACACGUCAUACAAUGGCUGGUACAAAGGGUUGCCAACCCGCGAGGGGGAGCUAAUCCCAUAAAGCCAGUCGUAGUCCGGAUCGUAGUCUGCAACUCGACUACGUGAAGUCGGAAUCGCUAGUAAUCGUGGAUCAGAAUGUCACGGUGAAUACGUUCCCGGGUCUU
This 356-nucleotide ribosomal RNA is filed under the name uncultured Rhodoferax sp. RNAcentral describes it as "bacterial SSU rRNA". It matches the Rfam family "Bacterial small subunit ribosomal RNA", at positions 1024 to 1382 of the family's 1533-position model. The record is from RNAcentral. Lineage: Bacteria; Pseudomonadati; Pseudomonadota; Betaproteobacteria; Burkholderiales; Comamonadaceae.